UACAGACGGUCCAAACGUUAUUCGGAAUUACUGGGCGUAAAGCGCGCGUAGGCGGCAGCGUGUGUCGGGCGUGAAAUCCCACGGCUCAACCGUGGAAGUGCACUCGAAACUGCGCAGCUGGAGUCUCGGAGAGGAAGGCGGAAUGCUUGGUGUAGAGGUGAAAUUCGUAGAUAUCAAGCGGAACACCGGUGGCGAAGGCGGCAUCCUGGACCGGCAUUGACGCUGAGGCGCGAAAGCCAGGGGAGCAAACGGG
Molecule: ribosomal RNA, 253 nt
Filed under: uncultured bacterium
Lineage: Bacteria
Description: partial 16S ribosomal RNA
Rfam family: Bacterial small subunit ribosomal RNA
Source: RNAcentral